RNA transcript from Salarias fasciatus (jewelled blenny), 2013 nucleotides. It is a transcript of the gene named serpin peptidase inhibitor, clade E (nexin, plasminogen activator inhibitor type 1), member 2, with no coding region annotated. The transcript has 10 exons. The record is from RefSeq and is a predicted model, not a curated record. NCBI's taxonomy places the organism in Eukaryota, Metazoa, Chordata, Actinopteri, Blenniiformes, Blenniidae.
AGAUAAAUUCAGCUUUGAAUAGCGGCGCAGUCAGUCUGAACUCACUUCCUUAGGAAUAAAGACCAUAAGUGGACCGUUCUCCGUUUCUGCUUUAAAAUCAAGAAGUAGAAUCCAGCUCCUCCUCCGGGGCUCUUCUUGCUCGUCUCACCUCCUGUUAGAUUCCGCAGGCUUCACGAUGAAGCAGCUCUCCUUACUGUGCCUGUGUGCAUUGGUGACCUUGUACGGCGUGCAGUCCCAGACCGGCACCUACGGUGAGCGAGGCUCUGAUCUCGGCAUACAGGUGUUUCAGCAGGUAGCCCAAUCCAAGCCUCUGGAAAACGUGGUGCUUUCCCCCCACGGAGUGGCUUCCAUCCUCGGCAUGCUGCUCCCUGGAGCCCAGGGGGAGACCAGGAAGCAGCUCCUGACUGGACUCCGCUACAAAAAAACUGGCCCUUACAGGAUGCUGAAGAAGCUGCACAAGAAGUUAACAUCCAAGUCAAAUCAGGACACUGUCCUGAUCGCCAACGCCAUGUUCAGCCAGAAAGGUUUCCCCAUGGAGAAGGAUUUUCUGGAAGCCAGCAGAGCCAACUUUGAGUGUGAGACCAGAGGACUGGACUUCAGCGAUCCUCAAGCAGCAGCAGAUGAAAUCAAUGAAUGGGUCAACAACAAGACCAAAGGUCACAUCCCCAGCCUGAUCAAAGCCGACAUGCUGGAUCCGGCUCUGACCCGCCUGGUGGCUUUAAACUCCAUCUACUUCAAAGGCCUGUGGAAGUCGCGCUUCCAGCCAGAGAGCACCAAGAUGAGGACGUUCACCGCGGGGAACGGCAGAGUGCUGAAAGUCCCCAUGAUGUCCCAGCUGUCGGUCGUCAACAUCGGAGUGGCCACCACACCGCAGGGCGUCAAAUACAAAGUGAUCGAGCUGCCGUAUCACGGCAACUCGGUGAGCAUGCUGAUCGCCCUGCCCUCCGACGAGGACACGCCUCUGUCCAAGGUCGUCCCGCACGUCAACACGGCCGCCGUGUACAACUGGACCAAGACGAUGCACAGCCGGAAGGUCCGCCUGCACAUCCCCAAGUUCAGCGCUGAUGCGGAGGUGGAUCUGGAAGCUCCUCUCGCAGCUCUGGGAAUCACAGACAUGUUCAGUCAGGACAAAGCGGACUUCAGCCACCUCAGUACGGAGCCUGUGCACGUGUCGAAGGCACUCCAGAAAGCCAAAAUCAUCGUGAACGAAGACGGAACGAAAGCAGCCGCAGCCACCACUGCUGUUUUGCUGACGCGGUCCUCCCCACCAUGGAUCUCUGUGGACAGACCGUUCCUCUUCCUGAUCAGACACAACCCGACAGGUACCAUCCUCUUUAUGGGCCAGAUGAACCAGCCAUGAGUCCAGCCGUCGUCAUCACCAGUACAAGAACUGCCCACACUCACACACACACACACACACACGCACACACACACACACAUACACACGUCAAAAAUGUCACUUUAUGUCCUUGACAUUGCACUGAUUAGCACAACACAUCAUUUUUCUUCAUUUCCGAACUUUGCAUUUAUUUUUCUGGGACCUUGGAAAGUUGCCAGUUGAAAAUUCUCACAUUAUGGUUUGGCGCGUUCCCAUGACGACAACAAAACUUGAAAAAAAUUAUUAAACGAACUCUUAACACAUGGACAAAAUGAUUAUUAGAGACUAGGUUAUCUGAGAAGUUUUUGUUCUUUCCAUAUUGACACUUUCCAGGGAAAUCUUAUCACAAGUCAUGUCAAAUUUACUUUGGGAAAAUCUCCUGAAACGUUCCACAUUCCAAAUAUGACAGAUUUGUUUUCUUCCUCUCUGAUGUAAGGAAUUUAACCACGACAAAAGUCGGACCUUUCCUGCUUCCCAAAAGUUGAAACCGUUCCACUUUGUAGUCAAAGGCCUGUAACUCCACAUUUGGGAAGGAUAACGGCUGAAAUUCAUGUAGCGUUUUUGUAAAUAGCAGCUAACAUUGUCAAACAUUAGACUAACGCUUGCCUUACUGUAGAUGGAGGAAAGGAAAAAAA